UACGUAGGGGGCAAGCGUUGUCCGGAAUUAUUGGGCGUAAAGAGCUCGUAGGCGGUCUGUCGCGUCGGAUGUGAAAAUCCAGGGCUCAACCCUGGACCUGCAUUCGAUACGGGCAGACUAGAGUUCGGUAGGGGAGACUGGAAUUCCUGGUGUAGCGGUGAAAUGCGCAGAUAUCAGGAGGAACACCGGUGGCGAAGGCGGGUCUCUGGACAGUUCCUGACGCUGAAGCACGAAGGCCAGGGGAGCAAACGGG
RNAcentral lists this ribosomal RNA (253 nucleotides) under uncultured bacterium. Its description in RNAcentral is "partial 16S ribosomal RNA". It matches the Rfam family "Bacterial small subunit ribosomal RNA", at positions 524 to 776 of the family's 1533-position model. The record is from RNAcentral.